CUUCUUCUAUCUGCUGCGGGCAGAUGAAGUGGAUGUGGGUGUCGAUGCCGCCAGCGGUAAGGAUCAUGCCUUCACCGGCAAUGACUUCGGUGCUGGCACCGAUGGCGAUAGUCACGUUGGGUUGCACGUCCGGGUUGCCAGCCUUGCCGAUGGCUGCAAUGCGACCGUCCUUGAGGCCGACAUCGGCCUUGACGAUGCCCCAGUGGUCGAUGAUCAGCGCAUUGGUGAUCAGGGUGUCGACGACCUCGGCGGCGAGCAGCUGGCUCUGGCCUUGACCAUCGCGGAU
Pseudomonas sp. G5(2012) is the source of this 286-nucleotide non-coding RNA. NCBI's taxonomy places the organism in Bacteria, Pseudomonadati, Pseudomonadota, Gammaproteobacteria, Pseudomonadales, Pseudomonadaceae. The record is from Rfam.